GCCUCGUAACGUGGAUAGUCUCCCUUCUCAAGGAUAAACUGCUGGCCCUGGAACUCAGGGUACUCAUAACCCAACCAGCUAAAACACAGGCGGGGAGAGAGAGAAAACGAGAGAGGGAACGAGAACGAAAGAGAGAAAACAAGAGCGUCAGCAGGAACUCACAACGCUUGCCCUGGAAGUUCUCCUCCUCCCAGACAGUGAUCUUGAACUGGCCCAUCUGCUCCAUCUGCUGAGUGUUCAUGGUUGCUAUUUCCACCGUGGGGUUGCUCUCUACCAAAAGGGGACAAGGAAGACCAGAGGAACUAAUCCUCCUAAGGACCUGACAGCGCAUGCAGGUGACAUCUGCUCUGUGAAUGGCUCUGCGUAGGAGUGGACCACAACAGGCCAGCAGGUUUUACCCGAGGACAGCGAACGCGUCCGUAAUGGCAACCUAUUCCCCAUACAUGGUACCCAUAGGGCUCUGGUCAAAAGUAGUACACUAUAUAGGGAAUAGGAGGCCAUUUCAGACGCGUUCAGAGAGGUGCUGCAGUCCUGGGUUCUCUCCCUCCCUCCCGCCAUACCCCACCCCCAUCUCUGUGCUCACUGCUCAGAUUGGUUUUAAAGAGAGAGGAUUCUCCAGCGGACACCUGUCACAUGGGGCGUUGCUCAGUUCCAAUAUUGACACAAUAGUCUGGGGAGUGCAGAUUAGUUCAACUCCUCUCUAUUAUGCCAACCCUCCCCUCUCUAUGCAAACCGACAGUGCGUUGCGCUCCCUCCAAUUGACGAAAUGGAAGGAUUCGCUGACCUUUGUGCUCGCGCUGAACCUACAGAGAAUGGGCCAUUGAACGGUGGCUUCAUUCACCUGUGUUGAAGAUCACAUCAUCAGGACUGGAGUACUGCUGGCCAAGACCGUCUCCUUGAAUAAGAAAGGAGGGAGAUGAUCAAUGAACAGUGUGGUGAUGAAGAAAACACCACCAUACAGUUUGUUGCUGAAGAGGUAAAAAAAACAAAAAACAUCUGGAAUCAAGGGUUGGCAUUCAAAAUCGCACCCGAUCACCUACGUAGGGCCCUAGUCAAAAGAAGUGCUCUGUGUAGGUAAUAGGGUGCCAACACAGUCACAAACGAACAAGGCAGUUAACCCAGUGUUCCUAGGCCAUCACUGUAAAUAAGAGUUAAGAGUUAGAGUUAAAAGGUAAAAUAAAAAAAUACAA
Molecule: long non-coding RNA, 1190 nt
Organism: Oncorhynchus masou masou (cherry salmon)
Lineage: Eukaryota; Metazoa; Chordata; Actinopteri; Salmoniformes; Salmonidae
Exons: 5
Source: RefSeq, a predicted model, not a curated record